GACGAACGCUGGCGGCGUGCUUAACACAUGCAAGUCGAACGGAAAGGCCCUGCUUUUGUGGGGUGCUCGAGUGGCGAACGGGUGAGUAACACGUGAGUAACCUGCCCUUGACUUUGGGAUAACUUCAGGAAACUGGGGCUAAUACCGGAUAGGAGCUCCUGCUGCAUGGUGGGGGUUGGAAAGUUUCGGCGGUUGGGGAUGGACUCGCGGCUUAUCAGCUUGUUGGUGGGGUAGUGGCUUACCAAGGCUUUGACGGGUAGCCGGCCUGGGAGGGUGACCGGCCACAUUGGGACUGAGAGACGGCCCAGACGCCUACGGGAGGCAGCAGUGGGGAAUAUUGCACAAUGGGCGGAAGCCUGAUGCAGCAACGCCGCGUGCGGGAUGACGGCCUUCGGGUUGUAAACCGCUUUCGCCUGUGACGAAGCGUGAGUGACGGUAAUGGGUAAAGAAGCACCGGCUAACUACGUG
Molecule: ribosomal RNA, 468 nt
Filed under: uncultured bacterium
Lineage: Bacteria
Description: partial 16S ribosomal RNA
Rfam family: Bacterial small subunit ribosomal RNA
Source: RNAcentral